UACGUAGGGGGCGAGCGUUGUCCGGAUUUAUUGGGCGUAAAGCGCACGUAGGCGGCUUUGCAAGUCCCAUGUGAAAUCCCACGGCUUAACCGUGGAAGUGCAUGGGAAACUGCAGAGCUUGAGUACUUAAGAGGAUCGCGGAAUUCCCGGUGUAGAGGUGAAAUUCGUAGAUAUCGGGAGGAACACCAGUGGCGAAGGCGGCGAUCUGGGAAGAUACUGACGCUGAGGUGCGAAAGCGUGGGGAGCAAACAGG
Molecule: ribosomal RNA, 253 nt
Filed under: uncultured bacterium
Lineage: Bacteria
Description: partial 16S ribosomal RNA
Rfam family: Bacterial small subunit ribosomal RNA
Source: RNAcentral